GUUACUUGGUACAUCGGUGACAGGUGUGCAUGGUUGUCGUCAGCUCGUGUCGUGAGAUGUUGGGUUAAGUCCCGCAACGAGCGCAACCCCUAUUGUUAGUUGCCAUCAUUCAGUUGGGCACUCUAGCGAGACUGCCGGUAAUAAACCGGAGAAGGUGGGGAUGACGUCAAAUCAUCAUGCCCCUUAUGACCUGGGCUACACACGUGCUACAAUGGUUGGUACAACGAGUUGCGAGUCGGUGACGGCGAGCUAAUCCCUUAAAGCCAAUCUCAGUUCGGAUUGUAGGCUGCAACUCGCCUACAUGAAGUCGGAAUCGCUAGUAAUCGCGGAUCAGCACGCCCGCGGUCGAAUACGUUCCGGGCCUU
RNAcentral lists this ribosomal RNA (365 nucleotides) under uncultured Streptococcus sp. Its description in RNAcentral is "bacterial SSU rRNA". It matches the Rfam family "Bacterial small subunit ribosomal RNA", at positions 1014 to 1382 of the family's 1533-position model. Lineage: Bacteria; Bacillati; Bacillota; Bacilli; Lactobacillales; Streptococcaceae. The record is from RNAcentral.